AUAGUCUGCACGGACUUGAUAAUCAGAAACCCACAUUACCGCAUAACGUUUACAAGAAGGUAAAUUGCCAUUCACAGAGUUUCAUGUUCCCACCAAAAUCAAGGGGAAGAACCUCCGAUGAAAGUCAUCAUUUACUCAAAAUCACAAUUUCAAUUGAGACAACUGUCGAUAGAGAAGAAGAGAAACACAAAGUUUCAUGAUCCCGCUGGGAUGAGAGAGGCGCAAAAGAUUGAAUCCCCAUCAACACGAACUGAAACUAAUGAAACCCUUGCCUAGAUUCAUAAUUUCAUACAAACAGAGCGAGAGCGAGAGCGAGAGCGAGAUUAAAAAAUGAACUCACGCGUUUGAUGCUCUCUGUUAUCGUUAGAAUUCACGUAUUCCCUGUUAUUGUUAAAAUCCACGUGCUUUGUUCUUCCGUCGUGUUGUCAUGUG
RNAcentral lists this long non-coding RNA (432 nucleotides) under Linum usitatissimum (flax). RNAcentral's name for it is "long non-coding RNA (LUSI_LNC005392)". The record is from RNAcentral. Lineage: Eukaryota; Viridiplantae; Streptophyta; Magnoliopsida; Malpighiales; Linaceae.